Molecule: ribosomal RNA, 290 nt
Filed under: Enterococcus faecalis
Lineage: Bacteria; Bacillati; Bacillota; Bacilli; Lactobacillales; Enterococcaceae
Description: partial 16S rRNA
Rfam family: Bacterial small subunit ribosomal RNA
Source: RNAcentral
CUCAGGACGAACGCUGGCGGCGUGCCUAAUACAUGCAAGUCGAACGCUUCUUUCCUCCCGAGUGCUUGCACUCAAUUGGAAAGAGGAGUGGCGGACGGGUGAGUAACACGUGGGUAACCUACCCAUCAGAGGGGGAUAACACUUGGAAACAGGUGCUAAUACCGCAUAACAGUUUAUGCCGCAUGGCAUAAGAGUGAAAGGCGCUUUCGGGUGUCGCUGAUGGAUGGACCCGCGGUGCAUUAGCUAGUUGGUGAGGUAACGGCUCACCAAGGCCACGAUGCAUAGCCGAC